GAUGUUAGUUCAGGGCUAAUCUUUCUCAAAAAAAAAAACAAAAGAAGAAUGUGUGCAUCUCAGCUUUGAUAGGGUUAAUCUGGCAGAAGAGUGAACAAGAAGAUAUGGGAGGGAGAAGCAAUAAAUGUGAAAUGAGAAAUUCCACUGUAGAUAUUUAUAUCAAUUUAAGAUAGAACAUGGCUUUUUGACAGGAAAGUCAAUAUAAUCAUGCAAAUCACAGAGCAAAUUUUGCAAAGGCUUGUCUCCCUCAUGCAAAGGUGCCAAUGGACUACUGUAUACAUUCUCAUAAUUUGCUGAAAGUUAGUUUAUUCCAAAGAUAAAAGUCUGGAAGCCAGUAAGAAUUCAAACCAAAAGGAUUGGUAAAUAAAAUUUAAAAUGCAGUAAGCAGGAGGUCAUGCUAAAACACUUUGAAGUCACUUCUGGGUUAUUUUCCGAUAGUUCUCUUAAUGAAAAAUACCCAAAAGUAACACCAGGGGUAAAAGAAAGAAGGUGCCAGGGUGGUGAUGGUGAUGCUGUGUGUGCACGUACGUGUUCAGUUCUCAAAAAAAGGCACAGUCAACUCUCUCAGAACACCAGCCAUAUCAAGAACAGGAUCAUCACAAAAAUUAAAAGCUUCCUUCAAUGUCUGAUUUGGAAGGAGAAGAGACAAUAUUUGAGAUGUAAUGACCAAUGUCUGAUUCUCAAGAACGUAAGAAUUGAGUUAAAGGCUUGGUCCAAAAUCAUAAUGAAAAUGUGAUGUGAUUUUAAAAGGAAAUAGAUAGGCUGACAUCCAUUUCUGAUCACCAAAUUUAUUAAUAAUAACUAAAAUAAUCAUUUCAAUAAUUGAAAUGAUAAUCAGAUUUAUUAUUUUAUAUGGUGGGAUAGAUUAUUUAGGCCAGCUCUCCUAUGGAAAAUAAUUUAAAAUGCUAGAUAAAAAUAUGGAAAACUUUUUCCUAAAAGCACCUAAAAGCUGGAAAGAAUGUGAGAAAUUUCAGACUAAAAUCUAAGCGAAAGCAGAAACCCAGAGAGGUAAGAAGGGCACAAAGCUGUCUUUAACUUGAGGCAUAUGCUGAACCCAAUAAACUUGAGCUUCAUUUUUAAUAGCCUCAAAGAGUAAGAAGACAGAAAGGUCAGAGCCCGGGGCCACCCACUAAGGUGGGCACACAUUUUCAUUCAAGCUCUCAAAGAAUUCCCAUUAACAACUUUCCAAGGAAAAUGAGCAGCUGACCAAGCACACAAGGAGACAGGUACCAUGAAGAAGAGAACCAAGAGAAACAACAGAGCUGUAACAGACCUUCAGAUAAUUCAGAUACUGGAAUUUUCAGAUAUAGAUCAUAAAACAACUAUACUAAUAUGUUUAAAGAAAUAAAAGACAAGCUUAAAAAUGAAUGCAGGGGAUAGAAAAUCAUUUUGUCUUACAUGAUCUAGUAAACUUGGGAAAGAACCAAAUGGAAUGUCUAGAAACAAAAAAUACAAUAACUGAAAUUUAAAACUCAAUGGGUGAAUUUAACAGUAGAUUAGACAGGUAAGAAUUAGUAAAUCAGUUGGAACUUACCCAGAAUGUAGUACCAAGAGAUAAAGAAAUAGAAAAUAGGAAACAGGAUAGAUUGAAGGUGAUCUAACACAUGCCUAGUCAAAUUCUCAGAAGGGAAGGAAAGAGAGAAGGGGAAGAGACAAUAUUUGAGAUAUAAUGACCAAUAAUUUUCCAGAACAGAUUUAAAAAAUACCAAUGUAUUCAAAAGUCCAGUAAAUUCAAGCAGGAUAAAUAAAAAUAAAUCCACAUCUAGACACAUCACAGUAAAACUUCAGAAAAUGAAAGACAAAGCAAAUUUUAAAAGCAGCCAAAGGGAAAAUAAAAGAUUACUUUCAAAGAAAGCAACAGUUAGACUGACAGCUGACUUCUCAAAAGCAAUAAUAAAAGCCAAAUGUCAAUGGAAUGAUAUCUCCAAAGAGUGUUAUAAGAAAUAACUGCCAACCUGGAAUUCUAUCCCCAGUCAAAACAACUUUCAAGAUUGAGGGUGAAAUAAGGACAUUUUCAAACAAAACACAGAGCUUGUCACCAGCAUAUCUUCACUAAAGAAAGUCCUCAAGGAUAUAUUUUAAACAAAAGGAAAAGGAUUUCAGGUCUGAGAUGUAGGAAGGAAAUUAAAAGCAAAGAAUGUGGUGCACCUCUAAGUGCUGGGCUGAGACCUGGGCCUCCCGGUGCUUCUCCUCCAGCUCCUGGACACAAAAGAACAGACAGUCAGAUGAAUCCUCGCGGUUCUGCAGCUUCUCCAGCUCACGCUCGGCUCGCUCCUUCGCCUGGCGGAUGUUCUGCAGCAGCUCGGUGGCCUCAGUGCUGGCUUUGACAGCCUACCAGGAAAGAAGGAACAGGACAGACGGCCAAAUUUAUUCAUGUAAAAAGACGGUGGCAAUAUAGCCAUUUUUCAAAACAUAUAAACAUUCAUUUUAUUCUGUAUUUUGUCUAAGGUACACUUAUAUAUAUAUACAUAUUUUAACAUCACUGAAUUUGGAAUGCAUCCUAUGAUUAAAAUCGACAGUAUUUUUUCUAUCAUGGGGUACAUAAGAUAAUGGUGUAUCUGACAAUCAUUAGUAUCUUAGACCCAAGGCAACAUAGUAAAUGCAAACAAAAAGGUCUGGAAGGAUUCAUCUACCCAGGUAUUAAUGUAUUUACCUUGGAGCAUUCAUUUCCUCCUUAUUUAAUGAUCUCGUUUGCUAAUUUUCCUAUGGGGAAUUUGAAGUACUUUUAUAAGAAAACAAGAUAAAAACUAUAAACUUUUUUUCAAAUAAGUGCCUUUCAAAGGGCUCAACCCCUACAGUGUUCACGGUAGUUUACAAGGUCUAUGUUUAAAAACAAAAAGCUAAAUCUUUUGAAGUUAAUUUUUAUUUAGGUCUUAACUAUAAUGCAGCUCUUAUAGCAUCAUAGUAAACAUCUAAGUUUAAAAGACUAACAACUUCACACUUACUUGCUUUAAAAUAUAAUUUUAAAAAGUGGAAACUGCAAGAACACUCCAACUUCAAGACCAGCACUAACAUGGAGCCGCUAGCCACACGUGGCCCUUUAGUGCUUGAAACGUGGUUGAUGUGACUGGGAAAUUCAUUUCUAAUUUUAUUUAAGUUUAAUUCAUUUAAAACCUGAAGCAAUGUAAAUGUCAUAUUGAUACACGCUGUAAUGAUAUUUUGGAUAUCUUGGAUUAAAUAUAUCAUUCAAAUAAUUUCACCUGUUUCUUUCUGCUUAUCUUAAGGAGACUACUAGAAAAUUUAAAAUUAUAUCUGUGGCUGACAUGUGUGGCUUGCAUCACACUCUAUUGGAGAGCACGGUCCUAAAUGGAAACAUGAAUCCUCACACAAAAUUCAAGCUGAAAGAGGGCAGUAGAGGCUUUCAUUAGUGAGUGGAAGAAUUAGGUAAGAAGGGGACAGAUGAAUGGGUAAAGAAAAUGUGGUAUAUCCAUACAAUGGAAUAUUAUGCAGCUUUAAAAAAGAAGGAAAUCAUUUCACAUGCUGCGACACAGAUGAACCUCAAGGACAUUAUGCUAAGUGAAAUAAACCAGUCACAAAAGGACAAAUACUAUACGAUUCUACUCAUAUGAAGUAGAGUCACGCAUUGCUUAACAUCAGGAAUACGUCCUGAGAAAUGCAUCAUUAGGUGAUUUUGUCGUUGUACAAACAUCAUAGAGGGUACUUACACAAAUCUAG
Equus caballus (horse) is the source of this 3675-nucleotide non-coding RNA. NCBI's taxonomy places the organism in Eukaryota, Metazoa, Chordata, Mammalia, Perissodactyla, Equidae. The record is from RefSeq and is a predicted model, not a curated record.